This 582-nucleotide long non-coding RNA is filed under the name Felis catus (domestic cat). Its description in RNAcentral is "lncRNA (ENSFCAG00000048873.1)". The record is from RNAcentral. Lineage: Eukaryota; Metazoa; Chordata; Mammalia; Carnivora; Felidae.
CGCGGGGCUCGAACUCCCGGACCCCGAGAUCGUGACCUGGCUGAAGUCGGACGCUUAACCGACUGCGCCACCCAGGCGCCCCAGCAGAGAGCUUUUCAGGGGUUUGGACCAGGUUUCCCAAACACCCAGCUGUAUCAUAAGGACCCUUUGGCUUGCAACAGGCUGCCUGCCCACUCACCCACAGACCCAGCCACCAGUUGUUGCAAUUCCUGGCCCAGGUCCGCCCCCUGCAUCCGGGAGGGCUCUUCACCUCUGACCCCAGAAGGUAGGUCAGACCCUUUCCCUGCCUCUCCAACGUCCAUCCCCGCUCUGCCCUCAUACCCACAAGGGAGAGAUGCCAGAGCCCCUGGAGGGUGAGGUCUUCUGAGGAAAGCGGGUGCUUCUGUGCGGCCAUGUACAACGGGGCGGUACUCCGGGGCAAGAAUGUGGCCUCAGGUCGAGUGAGGGGUGCAAAGGUAGGGGAACGCAAGCCUCUUGAACCUCUGGGUCCCCUGCUGUGCGUAAGGCACAGGGGCCUUUGUCCCGCUCACUGGAGUUCAGGCCCCAGCUGGUAAAUAAAAUGACAUUUUCCUCCCUUUACCA